CUUAAGUGGGGAAUAACGCAUCGAAAGGUGCGCUAAUACCGCAUAAUCUCUGAGGAGAAAAGCAGGGGAUCGCAAGACCUUGCGCUUUUAGAGCGGCCGAUGCCUGAUUAGCUUGUUGGUGAGGUAAAAGCUCACCAAGGCUUCGAUCAGUAGCUGGUCUGAGAGGACGACCAGCCACACUGGGACUGAGACACGGCCCAGACUCCUACGGGAGGCAGCAGUGGGGAAUUUUGGACAAUGGGGGCAACCCUGAUCCAGCCAUGCCGCGUGAGUGAAGAAGGCCUUCGGGUUGUAAAGCUCUUUCAGCCGGAACGAAACGGUCACGAUUAAUACCCGUGGCUACUGACGGUACCGGAAGAAGAAGCACCGGCUAACUACGUGCCAGCAGCCGCGGUAAUACGUAGGGUGCGAGCGUUAAUCGGAAUUACUGGGCGUAAAGCGUGCGCAGGUGGUUUUGUAAGUCAGAUGUGAAAUCCCCGGGCUUAACCUGGGAACUGCGUUUGAAACUGCAAGGCUAGAGUGUGGCAGAGGGGGGUGGAAUUCCGCGUGUAGCAGUGAAAUGCGUAGAGAUGUGGAGGAACACCGAUGGCGAAGGCAGCCCCCUGGGUCAACACUGACGCUCAGGCACGAAAGCAUGGGGAGCAAACAGGAUUAGAUACCCUGGUAGUCCAUGCCCUAAACGAUGUCAACUAGUUGUCGGGUCUUAACGGGCUUGGUAACGUAGCUAACGCGUGAAGUUGACCGCCUGGGGAGUACGAUCGCAAGAUUAAAACUCAAAGGAAUUGACGGGGACCCGCACAAGCGGUGGAUUAUGUGGAUUAAUUCGAUGCAACGCGAAAAACCUUACCUACCCUUGACAUGUAUUGAAACCCGCAGAGAUGUGGGUGUGCCCGAAAGGGAACGAUAACACAGGUGCUGCAUGGCUGUCGUCAGCUCGUGUCGUGAGAUGUUGGGUUAAGUCCCGCAACGAGCGCAACCCUUGUCAUUAAUUGCCAUCAUUUAGUUGGGCACUUUAAUGAGACUGCCGGUGACAAACCGGAGGAAGGUGGGGAUGACGUCAAGUCCUCAUGGCCCUUAUGGGUAGGGCUUCACACGUAA
This 1098-nucleotide ribosomal RNA is filed under the name uncultured ammonia-oxidizing bacterium. RNAcentral describes it as "bacterial SSU rRNA". It matches the Rfam family "Bacterial small subunit ribosomal RNA", at positions 130 to 1225 of the family's 1533-position model. The record is from RNAcentral.